Long non-coding RNA from Salvia splendens (bonfire salvia), 1426 nucleotides. RefSeq lists it as uncharacterized. The transcript has 2 exons. The record is from RefSeq and is a predicted model, not a curated record. NCBI's taxonomy places the organism in Eukaryota, Viridiplantae, Streptophyta, Magnoliopsida, Lamiales, Lamiaceae.
ACAUACAUAUAAACUAACUAAGUUAUUCUUUACUCCCUCUGAGUGAAAUAUCAAUGAGUAAGAUGCAAUUCAAGACCGAAGGCUUUGGAACGGUUCUCUGUGAUCCAAGUUUAGUUUGACCAUAGAUUGUAUCAUCUUUUCCCCUAAGCUUGUUCUUGGCUGUUGUUGAUUUUCUAAGGACUUAACAACACUGCGAUGGAAUUUGGAAGGUUUAUAUAUAGGUGAUUAUUGCUGCGUGCCAUUGAUUUUACUAGGAAUGGGAAAGUCUGUUGGUGUAUGUUUUUGGUCAACAGAAGUAUCUUAUUUGCACCUUUACUGAUUUGUUUUUGGUAUGUAGAUUAACCUUAUUUCUAGGAUGGUUAGAAUGUGCUUCAUUGGAUUUGAGAAGUGGAAUACAAAAUUUCCCCUAAGGCACUUUGGAUAUGCAUUUUGUCACUAUACACACUAUUUGUUAGGAUUAGCAAUCAGAAUCUUGUCGUUCUCUCCAGCCUAAUCAGAUGGGAAAACCUCUUUAAGGUUCCUAUAUGGUUCCCAGAUCCCUGGUUACAUAUAUAUCUAGUUAAGUAAAGCUCACGUCUUCAGUGAGCAAAGUCCUCUAUGCAGCAUGAACCAGGAAAGAUGGAAAAACUGAAGGUGGUGAGCAGCUGAAAGAUGAAAGGGCAAACACUGUACUCCAGCUUCUUGGAUGAGGAGUUAUUGCUGCUUUUACAAAAACUCUCCAGCAUGUGUGGUAAGUGUAUCAGGUACAAUAAGUUCCCUCUCCUGGUUUUUCUUAAAUUUAAGUCUGCAAAUGCUCUAUGAUUCAGAAAUCAGUUUUGAGUUUGGUAAUCAAGCAAAAAUCUCAUCAUUAAAAAAAUAUCUUUACGUGCAACUAUUGUGUUUUCUCGUUUAUUAUCACUUGCGAGGCUCUGUCACGUUUCAUAAUUUGAGCUUGCUGGGGAAAAUGUUUUGGGAGACGAAUUUACCACAAGUAAACAUCUGAGACUGUCCUCUCAUAUAUUUGGAGUCUUUAUGAAUCAGUAUCUUGCUAGAACAGUUUCAGUCUGAUUAGAAUCAGCACAGCUAAAUGGUGAUAUGUUGUGCUUAUGUUCAUUUUGUGUUGCUGAGACAUGAUUGAUUAUCUUGUUACUUUCCUGCUGCGGUCACAGAGAACUAGUUUAUCUAUUUUGUCUAAUUGGUUUUAUUGUGCUAGAACUAGAACUGUCAACCGGCCGUUCAAACGAGGAAUUCGGUCGGGCCGGUUUUGACAGCUCUAGCCAGAACAUAUCUACAGUGCAGAUUGAGCAGGGAAUUAGACAGUAACAAAGCAAUUUCAUCAUGUUCUAUGCUAUGAUUCAUUUUGGUGUAUUACUAUGUAGUUAAAAGAAUUUGUAUACAUGUAUAAAUGUAAGAACAAAAUAAUUUGAAUUAGAUUUCUUUCUUCUUA